Molecule: ribosomal RNA, 253 nt
Filed under: uncultured bacterium
Lineage: Bacteria
Description: partial 16S ribosomal RNA
Rfam family: Bacterial small subunit ribosomal RNA
Source: RNAcentral
UACGAAGGGGGCUAGCGUUGCUCGGAAUCACUGGGCGUAAAGCGCACGUAGGCGGCUUUCUAAGUCAGGGGGGAAAUCCUGGAGCUCAACUCCAGAACUGCCUUUGAUACUGGAGAGCUUGAGUCCGGGAGAGGUGAGUGGAACUCCGAGUGUAGAGGUGAAAUUCGUAGAUAUUCGGAAGAACACCAGUGGCGAAGGCGGCUCACUGGACUGGUAUUGACGCUGAGGCGCGAAAGCCAGGGGAGCAAACGGG